Acanthosepion pharaonis is the source of this 107-nucleotide non-coding RNA. NCBI's taxonomy places the organism in Eukaryota, Metazoa, Mollusca, Cephalopoda, Sepiida, Sepiidae. The record is from the annotation of a GenBank genome assembly.
AUGUCACGUUGAAACACCGGUUCUUGUACGAUCACAGAAGUUAAACAAAGUCGAGACUGGUCAGUACCUAUAUGGGUGACCGCUUGAGAAUACCAAGGUGCUGUAAG